CAUUCAUCCACCUGUGGUGUUCGUCGAUGCCUUUGCUCGUUUGGUCUGCUGCAGAGGAUCUCAUUUGUUCUGGUGCACAACAACAACAGAAGUAAUUGCGUGACAGCGGCCUCACAGAGUCACCGGGGACCCCCAACCAAGAGCCCACAGUCCCAGGGAAUUGUUCUUUCCCACCUCCUCCUCAUCUGGCUCACAGGAGCCACACACAGCGAUUCACAGGUCAUCUUUCUUGAGGGAUCUUGUUGUUCUGUAAUCUGGAGUCUUCUCCAGUCCUCCGAUCCAGCAGCAGCCACAACUCAGUGCCCCAUUCGAUGCCUCUGAUUGCAACGCAGCCCUUGGCAGGAGGCUUCUGCUGUUCCCUGGGCCAACAAAGAUCCAAUCUUUACUAAGGUUAGUGAGAGACUAGUAGUAGGCUGUUCACUUGACCUUAGAAUUCCUUUCUCUUGAUUCACCACAGGAUCUGAGAGGGCAGUGGGAGUCCAUCGCUGUCCCAUCAAUAGCCUUCGAGCAUUGUCACCAGAAUCCUGCCUAUUCUAAUUUCUGCGAAGAGGACUAUGUGAUGGAAUGAAGAGGGUAUUUUGGUCCUUUUAGCGGUCCGGCAGGACCUAUAUAAACGCCACGAGAGGGGAGCAGAAGAAGAGGAAGACGGGCAGCUCCGCUGUGGUUGCGACGACAGCAGAUGAGGCUCGCCAGCUUCCUCCAGUGCGGUUGCGGGGCGCCGCGGCCCGAGGAGAAGCCGCAGGCGGCCCGGACGGGGACUGAUCCCCGUGACUGCGGCCGCCGUCGCCGCAACCGCGGGAACGACGCCUCGACGCCCUGGAGGCCGUCGCUCGCGGCGAUCUCCGAGAACGGCGCGCCGACGAGGGCGGCGGCGGGUGCCCGAGAUGGAAAGAUGACCGCUGACGGGGCGGAGAAGCACAAGGCCGUCGUCUCUCGUCGGGUCCUUCCUCGCGAUCACAGUGACCACGACCGGUAUUCAGAUGUUUCUUCAGUUGUGCCGGCAUUUAGUCCCACUGCCUUUUUGUUCUAGUGCCUAAUUCAGUGUUCAUCUGCGAUGAAAAAGAAGAAGAGAAGAGCGAAGGAUGACCGGAAGAUGAAGAAUGCUUUGUGCAAGAUUUAGUGAUUUUGUGCCAUUUACUCAGCAGUCACUUCUUCCUAUUCAUCCUUCCUUUUCUGUAUAUUUUCCCUUUACAAAUCCUUGUGUAUACAAAAGCUAGAAUGAAAUAUGUAAAUAUCAGAACAUGACAAUUCAGAUCAGUAUCUCAUGAUGUCUGAAAGUUAUGUAAUUCUGGACUUCUGCAGGAGUGCAGUUCAGAAGAAGCUUCAAGCUGAGCCAUACUGUGGCUGUAGCUUGAACUUCUGCAUCUCUCUUGUUAAAAGGACAAUUUAAAGUUUCUUGCCCUCCUGUUUAUUGAAA
Molecule: RNA transcript, 1417 nt
Organism: Musa acuminata AAA Group (dessert banana)
Lineage: Eukaryota; Viridiplantae; Streptophyta; Magnoliopsida; Zingiberales; Musaceae
Exons: 2
Source: RefSeq, a predicted model, not a curated record